ACACGACUACAUUAGGAUACCCGUGUAGUCCAGGGUGUAAACGCUGCAGACUUGGUGUUGGAGGCCCUUUGGGGGCAUUCAGUGCCGGAGAGAAGUUGUUAAGUCUGCUACUUGGGGAGUACGUCCGCAAGGAUGAAACUUAAAGGAAUUGGCGGGGGAGCACCGCAACGGGAGGAGCGUGCGGUUUAAUUGGAUUCAACACCGUAAAACUCACCAGGGAAGACUGUUACAUGAAGGCCGAGAUGAAGACUCUGCUAGAUUUUCAG
This 266-nucleotide ribosomal RNA is filed under the name uncultured archaeon. Its description in RNAcentral is "partial 16S ribosomal RNA". It matches the Rfam family "Archaeal small subunit ribosomal RNA", at positions 717 to 982 of the family's 1478-position model. The record is from RNAcentral.